AAAAAAAUUUUUUUGGAAAAAAAACCAGGAAAAUAUUUUAAAUAAUCCUGAACAUCAUCUGCAGAUGCAGAUACAUAAUUGAAGCCACUAUGCACACUGGAGACUCAUCGUCGCCUGUUCCGUGAGCCUCCGUUGAGGUUUGCAUCCUGACAGCAUUCCCGCUCCUAGGAGCUAAGGUGCCCCUCGGAAACGCCACACUCCGAAAGAGAUUGCAGAUUAGCAUUUGUGAGCACUGACCAUGAUGGGCAGACAGGAAGAGUGACCAGAAGCAGAGUCGCCCAUGCGAGGGACCUCAGUCCAUCCAAACUGGAGCCUCCUUCCUGCCAGCACUCCCCCAC
Molecule: long non-coding RNA, 338 nt
Organism: Mus caroli (Ryukyu mouse)
Lineage: Eukaryota; Metazoa; Chordata; Mammalia; Rodentia; Muridae
Source: RefSeq, a predicted model, not a curated record